CAACCCUCAGGCCCGCCUCGGCGGUCGCCUGGUGUUGGGGGCUAACCCCGCGGCGCUCGCCGCGGGGCCCCCGAAAGCCAUCGGCGGUGCCUGCCAGCACUCCGGGCGCAGUAAACUUACCUCGCCCUGGACGUCUGGCGGCUGCCCCUGCCGCUAAACGAAGCCGCCCCCGGGUGGCAGACUUAACUGG
This 190-nucleotide unclassified non-coding RNA is filed under the name uncultured Sordariomycetes. RNAcentral's name for it is "sequence contains ITS2". The record is from RNAcentral. Lineage: Eukaryota; Fungi; Ascomycota; Sordariomycetes.